RNAcentral lists this transfer RNA (72 nucleotides) under Candidatus Woesearchaeota archaeon. RNAcentral describes it as "tRNA-Cys". It matches the Rfam family "tRNA". Rfam says of the family: Transfer RNA (tRNA) molecules are approximately 80 nucleotides in length. Their secondary structure includes four short double-helical elements and three loops (D, anti-codon, and T loops). The record is from RNAcentral. Lineage: Archaea; Nanobdellati; Candidatus Woesearchaeota.
GCGGGCAUGGCCAAGCGGUAAGGCGACCGCCUGCAGAGCGGUUAUUCGGGGGUUCGAAUCCCUCUGCCCGCU